RNAcentral lists this ribosomal RNA (253 nucleotides) under uncultured bacterium. RNAcentral's name for it is "partial 16S ribosomal RNA". It matches the Rfam family "Bacterial small subunit ribosomal RNA", at positions 524 to 776 of the family's 1533-position model. The record is from RNAcentral.
UACAGAGGGUGCGAGCGUUGUUCGGAAUUAUUGGGCGUAAAGGGCGCGUAGGCGGUGCGGUAAGUCACCUGUGAAAUCUCCUGGCUCAACUGGGAGCUUGCAGGCGAAACUGCCGUGCUGGAGUGUGGGAGAGGUGCGUGGAAUUCCUGGUGUAGCGGUGAAAUGCGUAGAUAUCAGGAGGAACACCUGUGGCGAAGGCGGCGACCUGGUCCUUGACUGACGCUGAGGCGCGAAAGCGUGGGGAGCAAACAGG